RNAcentral lists this RNase P RNA (367 nucleotides) under Microbacterium sp. zg.B48. Its description in RNAcentral is "RNase P RNA component class A". It matches the Rfam family "Bacterial RNase P class A". Rfam says of the family: Ribonuclease P (RNase P) is a ubiquitous endoribonuclease, found in archaea, bacteria and eukarya as well as chloroplasts and mitochondria. Its best characterised activity is the generation of mature 5'-ends of tRNAs by cleaving the 5'-leader elements of precursor-tRNAs. RNAcentral also lists the same sequence under 2 other names. The record is from RNAcentral. Lineage: Bacteria; Bacillati; Actinomycetota; Actinomycetes; Micrococcales; Microbacteriaceae.
UGGGUCGGCUGGACGGUCGCGUCGCUGCGGUUCGCCGCAGCGCCGAGGAACGUCCGGGCUCCACAGGGCAGGGCGGUGGGUAACACCCACCCGGAGUGAUCCGCGAGACAGUGCCACAGAGAACAGACCGCCACGGCUUCGGCCGCGGUAAGGGUGAAACGGUGGUGUAAGAGACCACCGGGGUCGUGGUGACACGACCCGCAAGGUAAACCUCGCCCGGAGCAAGGCCAGACAGAGGAUGUUGACGCGGCUCGCCGAGUCCUCGGGUAGGCCGCAGGAGCGGCACGGCAACGUGUCGCCGAGAGAGAUGACCGUCCACGGGGCUUCGGCUCCCGGACAGAACCCGGCGUACAGGCCGGCCCAUUCG